Molecule: ribosomal RNA, 930 nt
Filed under: Triticum aestivum (bread wheat)
Lineage: Eukaryota; Viridiplantae; Streptophyta; Magnoliopsida; Poales; Poaceae
Description: partial small subunit ribosomal RNA
Source: RNAcentral
AUGGACGUGCUGCCGGAGGACGUGGUCGGGCGGGGCGUCCGUCGGGGCCAGAGAGCUCGCAAGGCUCGUGUCCUAGCAGGCGUGGCCAAAGCGGCCGGCGGCGUGCGUCUCGCCGUGGCAUUCCUUAUUGCCAGGCUCUCAAGGGGCACGCCGCCCGGACAUGCGCCAGCCCAACUGGGCAGGUUGCGUCUUCUCUCAGCCCGCAGAGCGCAGUAUAAGAGGUCCCUAUGUCAUGGGCCGACCCAGGCUGGGGUUUACCAUUUCUACACCGAGGAGCAAAAGAAGGUAACAUACGAGGCCCUGAAGCUGGCGAAGCGCAACGUGUACCACCGUGCGUGCCUUGUGGAGACCCAACGCCGUGUCGUGCCUCCUCCACCUCCUCUCCUCGACGGACGCGUCCAGAACAACGCUAUUGCCAGUCUCCUCAACCUCUUGAAACACAUAAUCGGGUGGAGCACGCUCGUGGAGGUGGGCAGGCUCGGGCUCAUAGUUGAUGCCGUCAAUGUCUCGGCCAAGGCCAUCCGGAAGUUGGUGCACCUCAUGAGGAAGGGCGCCUACCGCGGCCGCAAGAACGCACUAGUGAGCCUUUACGGGGUGCUCCACAGCGCGAACAGCAUUGGGAAGGCGGUGUCCGCCAGUGCCGUGAGUGUGCUCGCCAACCUCCUUUCCGACGACCAUCAGGACUUUGUGAACGGCUCCGUCGCUCUACUCGCGAGGAUUGCCGAGCAGCCGGCCAGCACAACGGCCAACCUUGCCCGCUUGGAGCUCGUCACGAGCCUCGUCAACUUCCUCGGCGCGUCGGCGUCUCGAUCGGGGAAGGACCACUGCAUGGCGCUGAUGGCCUCGAUGUGCCGGCACAGAGAGCGUCCUGUGAUCGGCUGCCACCUCUACGACUAUUGGCUCUCGUAUACCAUCUCCAUGAUAUGUUGA